AUCGCUUAGCGGCCUCUUGGCUAAGAUCAAGUGCAG
This 36-nucleotide small nuclear RNA is filed under the name Cervus elaphus hippelaphus. The record is from RNAcentral. Lineage: Eukaryota; Metazoa; Chordata; Mammalia; Artiodactyla; Cervidae.